AAUAACGGCUUAAAUGUUUUGAAUCAAAAAACGACUUCUCUGAGGUACCACCACAAUACCACAAUCCUUCCUUUUCUUUUGAGAAAAGGCGCUACAUUUGAAAAUCGAAGCAAUAUUGCUGGUAGAAAAAUUGUUUACAGGAACAAGAAAAUACAAAACGAUCGUCAUUGUAAAACCAAUACGUUCCGCUCUCCGUUCAGAAUCACAAAUAGGAGUCGAAUGAAAAUCGAAUGGGCCCCGGGCCUACGGUCGGCUUGACCUGUAAAUCCGCCACAGCGGCGACGCGGGCAUUGUUCGCGCUUAUUGUUACGAUUAUUUUCAAACGGUACGGGCGUACGACGCGAAUUGAAAAAAUAUAAGUGCCGUCGGUAUUAUCCGAUGUCGUAUGUUGUAUCGAUUUAUAAUUAAAUUUG
Non-coding RNA from Cinara cedri, 413 nucleotides. The record is from the annotation of a GenBank genome assembly. Lineage: Eukaryota; Metazoa; Arthropoda; Insecta; Hemiptera; Aphididae.